GACGAACGCUGGCGGCGUGCCUAAUACAUGCAAGUAGAACGCUGAAGGAGGAGCUUGCUUCUCUGGAUGAGUUGCGAACGGGUGAGUAACGCGUAGGUAACCUGCCUGGUAGCGGGGGAUAACUAUUGGAAACGAUAGCUAAUACCGCAUAAGAGUAGAUGUUGCAUGACAUUUGCUUAAAAGGUGCAAUUGCAUCACUACCAGAUGGACCUGCGUUGUAUUAGCUAGUUGGUGGGGUAACGGCUUACCAAGGCGACGAUACAUAGCCGACCUGAGAGGGUGAUCGGCCACACUGGGACUGAGACACGGCCCAGACUCCUACGGGAGGCAGCAGUAGGGAAUCUUCGGCAAUGGACGGAAGUCUGACCGAGCAACGCCGCGUGAGUGAAGAAGGGUGUCGGAUCGUAAAGCUCUGUUGUAAGAGAAGAACGAGUGUGAGAGUGGAAAGUUCACACUGUGACGGUAUCUUACCAGAAAGGGACGGCUAACUACGUG
RNAcentral lists this ribosomal RNA (495 nucleotides) under uncultured bacterium. Its description in RNAcentral is "partial 16S ribosomal RNA". It matches the Rfam family "Bacterial small subunit ribosomal RNA", at positions 28 to 507 of the family's 1533-position model. The record is from RNAcentral.